CGUCAAAUCAGCACGGCCCUUACAUCCGGGGCGACACACGUGUUACAAUGGGGAGGACAAAGGGUUGCUACCUGGUGACAGGAUGCUAAUCUCAAAACCUUUUCUCAGUUCGGAUCGGAGUCUGCAACUCGACUCCGUGAAGCUGGAUUCGCUAGUAAUCGCGCAUCAGCCAUGGCGCGGUGAAUACGUUCCCGGGCCUU
RNAcentral lists this ribosomal RNA (200 nucleotides) under uncultured prokaryote. Its description in RNAcentral is "partial 16S ribosomal RNA". It matches the Rfam family "Bacterial small subunit ribosomal RNA", at positions 1183 to 1382 of the family's 1533-position model. The record is from RNAcentral.